CAAGGGUGACCUGCAAGGUGCAGGUCAAGCGUUUGCCAAGGUCAGCCAGCUGUACCCCAAGCACGCCAAGGUGCCGGACUCGCUGUACAAACUGGCUGACGUAGAGCGCCGCCUGGGUCAUACCGACAAGGUCAAAGGCAUUCUGCAGCAGGUGGUGGCCCAAUAUCCGGGUACCUCCGCUGCUCAGUUGGCACAGCGGGAUCUGCAACGCAUGUAAGCGUCGCAACCCGUUCAGAAGAAACCCGCGCCCUGCGCGGGUUUUUUUCGUUAGAAUCCACGCCCUUUUAUGACACACGCUUCCUGGGGUUUACGCGUUGGCGGAAUUCCUUGAAGUGCCUGACGGAGGCGGACAGCCUGUUUAGCUGUUACGCCCGUGGCGACUAUGCAAGACACAUUACGUAUCAC
Molecule: unclassified non-coding RNA, 405 nt
Filed under: uncultured fungus
Lineage: Eukaryota; Fungi
Description: sequence contains 18S rRNA gene, ITS1, 5.8S rRNA gene, ITS2, 28S rRNA gene
Source: RNAcentral